GUGAUUGCCCUCGUGGCGUUACAUCCACACACACCUGUGCACUGUUUAGCCCCUUGUGGGGUUUUUUACAAACAUAGUGUAAUGAACGUAUAUUUAUCAUAACAAACA
This 108-nucleotide unclassified non-coding RNA is filed under the name uncultured fungus. RNAcentral describes it as "sequence contains ITS1". The record is from RNAcentral. Lineage: Eukaryota; Fungi.